This 472-nucleotide ribosomal RNA is filed under the name uncultured bacterium. RNAcentral's name for it is "bacterial SSU rRNA". It matches the Rfam family "Bacterial small subunit ribosomal RNA", at positions 355 to 825 of the family's 1533-position model. The record is from RNAcentral.
UGGGGAAUAUUGGACAAUGGGCGAAAGCCUGAUCCAGCCAUGCCGCGUGUGUGAAGAAGGUCUUCGGAUUGUAAAGCACUUUAAGUUGGGAGGAAGGGCAGUUACCUAAUACGUAUCUGUUUUGACGUUACCGACAGAAUAAGCACCGGCUAACUCUGUGCCAGCAGCCGCGGUAAUACAGAGGGUGCAAGCGUUAAUCGGAAUUACUGGGCGUAAAGCGCGCGUAGGUGGUUUGUUAAGUUGGAUGUGAAAUCCCCGGGCUCAACCUGGGAACUGCAUUCAAAACUGACAAGCUAGAGUAUGGUAGAGGGUGGUGGAAUUUCCUGUGUAGCGGUGAAAUGCGUAGAUAUAGGAAGGAACACCAGUGGCGAAGGCGACCACCUGGACCGAUACUGACACUGAGGUGCGAAAGCGUGGGGAGCAAACAGGAUUAGAUACCCACGUAGUCCCUGAGCGGGCUGGCAAGGCGCAU